Molecule: ribosomal RNA, 774 nt
Filed under: uncultured Neocallimastigales
Lineage: Eukaryota; Fungi; Neocallimastigomycota; Neocallimastigomycetes; Neocallimastigales
Description: partial large subunit ribosomal RNA
Rfam family: Eukaryotic large subunit ribosomal RNA
Source: RNAcentral
UAUGUGAUCGUCUCUCGCAUAUCAAUAAGCGGAGGAAAAGAAACUAACAAGGAUUCCCCUAGUAACGGCGAGUGAAGCGGGAAGAGCUCAAAUUUGAAAUCUUAAAGGGUUUCCCUUUACGAAUUGUAGUUUAAAGAAGUGUUUUCUGUUGAGGUUUUGGUAAAAGUUCUUUGGAAUAGGACAUCAUAGAGGGUGAGAAUCCCGUAUUUGACCUUUACUUUCAACUUUGUGAUACACUUUCAAAGAGUCGGAUUGUUUGGGAAUGCAGUCCAAAAUGGGUGGUAAAUUUCAUCUAAAGCUAAAUAUUGGCGAGAGACCGAUAGCGAACAAGUACCGUGAGGGAAAGAUGAAAAGAACUUUGAAAAGAGAGUUAAACAGUACGUGAAAUUGUCAAAAGGGAAGCGUUUGACACCAGUGUUGUUUUUCUGAAAAUCAAUUAAAGAACUGUUUAUGCUAAGCUGUUUAGACUUUAUCAGCUAUCUGUUUAGUUUUGAGCUUUUCUUUAAUGCACUUUUCAGUUAACAAGUCAACAUCAAUUUCUUUUGCUGUAAAAAAGCUUGAGGAAGGUGGCUUGAGAUUCGUCUUAAGUGUUUAUAGCCUCUUGCCUAUGCAGUCGGAGAGAUUGAGGUCUGCAGCGUAGAUCCUUCGGGGCUAAAUGCAUUUGUGCUAAGUUAUAGCAUUUUAUAGACAACUUGUUGACUAUGAUUUGUCUCGUAGCUUACUCGCUUAUGUUAUUUUACCUACGCUUAGGAUGUUGAGCGCAUGUCUCUCUCU